Molecule: ribosomal RNA, 913 nt
Filed under: Hodophilus micaceus
Lineage: Eukaryota; Fungi; Basidiomycota; Agaricomycetes; Agaricales; Clavariaceae
Also listed under: 1 other name
Description: LSU rRNA
Rfam family: Eukaryotic large subunit ribosomal RNA
Source: RNAcentral
AAGCAUAUCAAUAAGCGGAGGAAAAGAAACUAACAAGGAUUCCCCUAGUAACUGCGAGUGAAGAGGGAAAAGCUCAAAUUUAAAAUCUGACAGUCUAUGGCUGUCCGAGUUGUAAAUUAGAGAAGUGUUAUCUGCUCAAGCCUGUGCAAAAGUCUCUUGGAAAAGGGCAUCAUAGAGGGUGACAAUCCCGUCUUUGGCACAGAUCACUUGCGCUUUUGUGAUGCGCUCUCAAUGAGUCGAGUUGUUUGGGAAUGCAGCUCCAAAUGGGUGGUAAAUUCCAUCUAAAGCUAAAUAUUGGCGAGAAACCGAUAGCGCACAAGUACCGUGAGGGAAAGAUGAAAAGAACUUUGAAAAGAGAGUUAAACAGUACGUGAAAUUGUUGAAAGGGAAACGCUUGGAGUCAGUCGUGUUCUGCAAAAUCAACCUAACCUUUGGUUGGGUGUAUUUUUUGUAGAAUGGGUCAGCAUCAAUUUUGAUUGUUGGAAAAAGGACUUGGGAAUGUGGCAUCUUUGGAUGUGUUAUAGCCCUUGUUUGUAUACAAUGAUUGGGAUUGAGGAACUCAGUGUGACUUUUGUUUGGGGGCAUUGCCUCACAUCAACGCACUUAGGAUGCUGGCAUAAUGGCUUUAAUCGACCCGUCUUGAAACACGGACCAAGGAGUCUAACAUGCAUGCAAGUGUUUGGGUGGAAAACUCAAGCGCGUAAUGAAAGUGAAAGUUGAGAACCCUGUCRUGGGGUGCAUCGACGCCCGGUCUUGACCUUUUGUGACGGACCUGCGGUAGAGCAUGUAUGUUGGGACCCGAAAGAUGGUGAACUAUGCCUGAAUAGGGUGAAGCCAGAGGAAACUCUGGUGGAAGCUCGUAGCGAUUCUGACGUGCAAAUCGAUCGUCGAAUUUGGGUAUAGGGGCGAAAGA